RNAcentral lists this ribosomal RNA (526 nucleotides) under uncultured Ralstonia sp. Its description in RNAcentral is "bacterial SSU rRNA". It matches the Rfam family "Bacterial small subunit ribosomal RNA", at positions 505 to 1025 of the family's 1533-position model. The record is from RNAcentral. Lineage: Bacteria; Pseudomonadati; Pseudomonadota; Betaproteobacteria; Burkholderiales; Burkholderiaceae.
GUGCCACCCAGCCGCGGUAAUACGUAGGGUCCAAGCGUUAAUCGGAAUUACUGGGCGUAAAGCGUGCGCAGGCGGUUGUGCAAGACCGAUGUGAAAUCCCCGAGCUUAACUUGGGAAUUGCAUUGGUGACUGCACGGCUAGAGUGUGUCAGAGGGGGGUAGAAUUCCACGUGUAGCAGUGAAAUGCGUAGAGAUGUGGAGGAAUACCGAUGGCGAAGGCAGCCCCCUGGGAUAACACUGACGCUCAUGCACGAAAGCGUGGGGAGCAAACAGGAUUAGAUACCCUGGUAGUCCACGCCCUAAACGAUGUCAACUAGUUGUUGGGGAUUCAUUUCCUUAGUAACGUAGCUAACGCGUGAAGUUGACCGCCUGGGGAGUACGGUCGCAAGAUUAAAACUCAAAGGAAUUGACGGGGACCCGCACAAGCGGUGGAUGAUGUGGAUUAAUUCGAUGCAAACGCGAAAAACCUUACCUACCCCUUGACAUGCCACUAACGAAGCAGAGAAUGCAUUAGGUGCUCGAAAAGA